AGUGAACGCUGGCGGCAGGCCUAACACAUGCAAGUCGAACGGCAGCACAGUGGAGCUUGCUCCAUGGGUGGCGAGUGGCGGACGGGUGAGGAAUACAUCGGAAUCUGCCCAGUCGUGGGGGAUAACAUAGGGAAACUUAUGCUAAUACCGCAUACGACCUACGGGUGAAAGCGGGGAUCGCAAGACCUCGCGCGAUUGGAUGAGCCGAUGUCCGAUUAGCUAGUUGGCGGGGUAAUGGCCCACCAAGGCGACGAUCGGUAGCUGGUCUGAGAGGAUGAUCAGCCACACUGGAACUGAGACACGGUCCAGACUCCUACGGGAGGCAGCAGUGGGGAAUAUUGGACAAUGGGCGCAAGCCUGAUCCAGCCAUGCCGCGUGGGUGAAGAAGGCCUUCGGUUGUAAAGCCUUUGUCCGGAAGAACGACCUCGGAUUAAUACUACUGGGUAAGUGACGGUACCGGAAGAAUAAGACACCGG
RNAcentral lists this ribosomal RNA (476 nucleotides) under uncultured bacterium. RNAcentral's name for it is "bacterial SSU rRNA". It matches the Rfam family "Bacterial small subunit ribosomal RNA", at positions 29 to 497 of the family's 1533-position model. The record is from RNAcentral.